GCUGGGCAUGGUGGUGCACACCUGUAAUCCCAGUGACUCUGGAGGCUGAGGCAGGAGGAUCUUGAGUUCAAACCCAGCCUCAGCAAUUUAGGGAGGCCUUAAGCAACUCAGUGAGCUCUUGUCUCUA
RNAcentral lists this small RNA (127 nucleotides) under Marmota monax (woodchuck). Lineage: Eukaryota; Metazoa; Chordata; Mammalia; Rodentia; Sciuridae. The record is from RNAcentral.